GAACGCUGGCGGCGUGCCUAACACAUGCAAGUCGAACGAGGUCCAUGCAGUGGCAACACUGCGGAAGACCUAGUGGCGAACGGGUGAGUAACACGUGAGGAACCUGCCCCGAAGACCGGGAUAACCCCUCCGAAAGGAGAGCUAAUACCGGAUACCCCCACCUGGUCGCAUGGCCGGGUGAGGAAAUGGAUUCCGCUUCGGGAGGGCCUCGCGGCCUAUCAGCUAGUUGGUGAGGUAACGGCUCACCAAGGCAUCGACGGGUAGCUGGUCUGAGAGGACGAUCAGCCACACUGGGACUGAGACACGGCCCAGACUCCUACGGGAGGCAGCAGUGGGGAUUUUCCGCAAUGGGCGAAAGCCUGACGGAGCAAUGCCGCGUGGAGGAUGAAAGCCCAUGGGUUGUAAACUCCUUUUGUCAGAGAAGAAACAAUGACGGUAUCUGAAGAAUAAGCAUCG
Molecule: ribosomal RNA, 456 nt
Filed under: uncultured bacterium
Lineage: Bacteria
Description: bacterial SSU rRNA
Rfam family: Bacterial small subunit ribosomal RNA
Source: RNAcentral